GAUUCAACUAUACUGAAAAGAUUCAGAAAAGGAAUUAGGGCAACGUCUCAUCUCUUGGAGGCUGUUUAGUAGAAAUUCAUAAAAGUCCCUCACUAGAUCAAGGAGUUUUUUUGUUAAUUAAUAUGAGUGGAAGAUCUUGGUGCACACGAUCCUGGAAGACACCUGGCCAAGCAUGAAAUGGAUGGGAACCAAUGACAAUUAUAUUCAACUGAUGUUGUGAGAAUACUAUUCUCUGACAGAAAUUCUCAUCUGUAUCUCA
RNAcentral lists this long non-coding RNA (259 nucleotides) under Homo sapiens (human). RNAcentral's name for it is "HSALNT0210525". Lineage: Eukaryota; Metazoa; Chordata; Mammalia; Primates; Hominidae. The record is from RNAcentral.